Molecule: ribosomal RNA, 278 nt
Filed under: uncultured Pseudomonas sp.
Lineage: Bacteria; Pseudomonadati; Pseudomonadota; Gammaproteobacteria; Pseudomonadales; Pseudomonadaceae
Description: partial 16S ribosomal RNA
Rfam family: Bacterial small subunit ribosomal RNA
Source: RNAcentral
GCCUGGUAGUGGGGGACAACGUUUCGAAAGGAACGCUAAUACCGCAUACGUCCUACGGGAGAAAGUGGGGGAUCUUCGGACCUCACGCUAUCAGAUGAGCCUAGGUCGGAUUAGCUAGUUGGUGAGGUAAUGGCUCACCAAGGCGACGAUCCGUAACUGGUCUGAGAGGAUGAUCAGUCACACUGGAACUGAGACACGGUCCAGACUCCUACGGGAGGCAGCAGUGGGGAAUAUUGGACAAUGGGCGAAAGCCUGAUCCAGCCAUGCCGCGUGUGUGA